This 523-nucleotide long non-coding RNA is filed under the name Rhinolophus ferrumequinum (greater horseshoe bat). Its description in RNAcentral is "lncRNA (ENSRFEG00010013230.1)". The record is from RNAcentral. Lineage: Eukaryota; Metazoa; Chordata; Mammalia; Chiroptera; Rhinolophidae.
CUUUUCUGAGAGGAAAAGGAAAGGGAAAGGGAGAGAAAAAGGAGAGACACUGAACUGAAUGGAGGAUUGUGCCUGAGAAGAACCUACAGAGGGAUGUCUCCCCAGUGAAGGCCAAAGACUGCAGAGAGUGCUGCACCAAUGGACGCUCAAGCCAACUCUGAAGUUGAAACAAAGCGAUCAUCUGAAGACACCUCUCCUGCUCAGCAGCAUACCCAAAUGAGCCCACUGAAGUUUUACAAUGUGCCAGAGCUAUAAUGAUGUGGCAUGAAUCUCAGCAUGAUAGAAGACCCUGAAGUGUCAGAUUCAAUAAUGAAGAAACCAUAGAGGCCAUCUAUUCUAUCUUUUGCUUGAAUUUUCUCUGCUAGCCUAUAAUGUACCACCUCAUGGAUCAUCAAUUCCACAUUUGGACAAAUAGAUAGCUUAAAUACUUUUUCUUUAUAUUGACGCACAAGAGGCUCUUACAUCAUUACUGGUUUUACCCAUGGAUCACACAGUGUAAGUAUGAUCUCUUUUUAUCAGUCCU